GCCAGGCAUGGUGGUGCAUGCCUGUAGUCCCAGCUACUUGGGAGGCCAAGGCGGGAGGAUCACUUGAGCCUGGGAGGCCAAGGCUGCAGUGAGCUGAGAUCAUGCCACUGCACUCCUGCCUGGGUGACUGAGUGGGACCCUGUGUUUG
Pan troglodytes (chimpanzee) is the source of this 148-nucleotide non-coding RNA. It matches the Rfam family "Metazoan signal recognition particle RNA". Rfam says of the family: The signal recognition particle (SRP) is a universally conserved ribonucleoprotein. It is involved in the co-translational targeting of proteins to membranes. The record is from Rfam. NCBI's taxonomy places the organism in Eukaryota, Metazoa, Chordata, Mammalia, Primates, Hominidae.